UGGCGGACGGGUGAGUAACACGUGGGUAACCUGCCUAAAAGAAGGGGAUAACACUUGGAAACAGGUGCUAAUACCGUAUAUCUCUAAGGAUCGCAUGAUCCUUAGAUGAAAGAUGGUUCUGCUAUCGCUUUUAGAUGGACCCGCGGCGUAUUAACUAGUUGGUGGGGUAACGGCCUACCAAGGUGAUGAUACGUAGCCGAACUGAGAGGUUGAUCGGCCACAUUGGGACUGAGACACGGCCCAAACUCCUACGGGAGGCAGCAGUAGGGAAUCCUCCACAAUGGACGCAAGUCUGAUGGAGCAACGCCGCGUGAGUGAAGAAGGUCUUCGGAUCGUAAAACUCUGUUGUUAGAGAAGAACACGAGUGAGAGUAACUGCUCAUUCGAUGACGGUAUCUAACCAGCAAGUCACGGCUAACUACGUGCCAGCAGCCGCGGUAAUACGUAGGUGGCAAGCGUUGUCCGGAUUUAUUGGGCGUAAAGGGAACGCAGGCGGUCUUUUAAGUCUGAUGUGAAAGCCUUCGGCUUAACCGGAGUAGUGCAUUGGAAACUGGAAGACUUGAGUGCAGAAGAGGAGAGUGGAACUCCAUGUGUAGCGGUGAAAUGCGUAGAUAUAUGGAAGAACACCAGUGGCGAAAGCGGCUCUCUGGUCUGUAACUGACGCUGAGGUUCGAAAGCGUGGGUAGCAAACAGGAUUAGAUACCCUGGUAGUCCACGCCGUAAACGAUGAAUGCUAGGUGUUGGAGGGUCUCCGCCCUUCAUGCCGCAGCUAACGCAAUAAGCAUUCCGCCUGGGGAGUAC
This 800-nucleotide ribosomal RNA is filed under the name uncultured bacterium. RNAcentral describes it as "bacterial SSU rRNA". It matches the Rfam family "Bacterial small subunit ribosomal RNA", at positions 96 to 883 of the family's 1533-position model. The record is from RNAcentral.